UGGGGAAUAUUGGACAAUGGGGGGAACCCUGAUCCAGCCAUGCCGCGUGUGUGAAGAAGGCCUUAUGGUUGUAAAGCACUUUAAGCGAGGAGGAGGGUACUGGUAUUAAUACUACCAGGUACUGGACGUUACUCGCAGAAUAAGCACCGGCUAACUCUGUGCCAGCAGCCGCGGUAAUACAGAGGGUGCGAGCGUUAAUCGGAUUUACUGGGCGUAAAGCGUGCGUAGGCGGCUAAUUGAGUCGGAUGUGAAAUCCCCGAGCUUAACUUGGGAAUUGCAUUCGAUACUGGUUAGCUAGAGUGUGGGAGAGGAUGGUAGAAUACCAGGUGUAGCGGUGAAAUGCGUAGAGAUCUGGAGGAAUACCGAUGGCGAAGGCAGCCAUCUGGCCUAACACUGACGCUGAGGUACGAAAGCAUGGGGGGCAAACAGG
RNAcentral lists this ribosomal RNA (430 nucleotides) under Pseudomonadota bacterium. Its description in RNAcentral is "Proteobacteria bacterium partial 16S ribosomal RNA". It matches the Rfam family "Bacterial small subunit ribosomal RNA", at positions 355 to 776 of the family's 1533-position model. The record is from RNAcentral. Lineage: Bacteria; Pseudomonadati; Pseudomonadota.